This 440-nucleotide ribosomal RNA is filed under the name uncultured bacterium. RNAcentral's name for it is "partial 16S ribosomal RNA". It matches the Rfam family "Bacterial small subunit ribosomal RNA", at positions 338 to 795 of the family's 1533-position model. The record is from RNAcentral.
CCUCCUUUGUGCUGCCGUGGGGAAUAUUGCACAAUGGGGGAAACCCUGAUGCAGCGACGCCGCGUGAGUGAAGAAGUAAUUCGUUAUGUAAAGCUCUAUCAGCAGGGAAGAAAAUGACGUUACCUGAGUAAGAAGCCCCGGCUAACUACGUGCCAGCAGCCGCGGUAAUACGUAGGGGGCAAGCGUUAUCCGGAUUUACUGGGUGUAAAGUGAGCGUAGACGGCAGUGCAAGUCUGGAGUGAAAGGCGGGGGCUCAACCCCCGGACUGCUCUGGAAACUGUACGGCUGGAGUGCAGGAGAGGAUAGUGGAAUUCCUGGUGUAGCGGUGAAAUGCGUAGAUAUUAGGAGGAACACCAGUGGCGAAGGCGACUUACUGGAAUGUAACUGACGUUGAGGCUCGAAAGCGUGGGGAGCAAACAGGAUUAGAUACCCCAGUAGUC